GCGCACGGGUGAGUAACACGUGACUAACCUACCCUUGAGUGGGGGAUACCUAGGGAAACCUGGGCUAAUACCGCAUAAUACCUACGGGUCAAAGGAGCAAUUCGCUUUAGGAGGGGGUCGCGGCAGAUUAGUUAGUUGGCGGGGUAAUGGCCCACCAAGACAGUGAUCUGUAUCCGGCCUGAGAGGGCGCACGGACACACUGGAACUGAAACACGGUCCAGACUCCUACGGGAGGCAGCAGUGGGGAAUUUUGCGCAAUGGGGGAAACCCUGACGCAGCAACGCCGCGUGGAGGAUGAAGCCCCUUGGGGCGUAAACUCCUUUCGAUCGGGAAGAUAAUGACGGUACCUAUAGAAGAAGCCCCCGGUAACUUCGUGCCAGCAGCCGCGGUAAUACGAGGGGGGCAAGCGUUGUUCGGAAUUAUUGGGCGUAAAGGGGUGCGUAGGCGGCCUGACAAGUCUGAUGUGAAAUCUAUGGGCUCAACCCAUAGCCUGCAUCGGAAACUGUCGGGGCUUGAGUAUGGGAGAGGUGAGUGGAAU
This 538-nucleotide ribosomal RNA is filed under the name uncultured bacterium. Its description in RNAcentral is "bacterial SSU rRNA". It matches the Rfam family "Bacterial small subunit ribosomal RNA", at positions 98 to 667 of the family's 1533-position model. The record is from RNAcentral.